CCCCGAUCCUGCCAUCUGUUAUCCCAAGGACUCGGGUUUUGAUUACCUUUUUGUUUGCUUUUCUGAUAAGUGUUUUGUUUAUCCUCUGUGCCUGGCAUGUGCUUCCAGAGGUGUUUUGGAAGCCCCUUGCUCUCUUUGUAUGUGGUUUUCUCCUGAAGAACUAUUUACCACCACGACACUGGCAAAAACUAAUCCUCUGGCUAUGGCUGGACUGGGGAAAUAUAAUGAAAUCAGGCCAGUGGCAAAGCAUGAGUGCUCCAUGCUGUGGUUGGCUACCGAAGCUGAGCUUGUCAGUCCUUGAGAGGUUGAGAAGUCGAGAAGUCAGCUGAGAAAUUGACAGUGUCAUCAAGACCAAGUCCUGAAGGCCUGGCCAAGAGGAUUUGUCUGUCACCUGAAAGACUGAGCUCGUGGACUGUGUCUCGUGGUGGGAACGAACAGACUCGGCAGUAUUUCCCUGGAAAAAGCGAUCUUCCUGAAGACAGCAAUCCCUCUGCUGCUCAUUGGGCCAUUUGGCACAUCUACAUCCUCUCCUGAUCCUGACAAAAUGUCACUUCUCUCUGCUCAGUUUUCUACUGACUCAUCCACCUUUUCAGUUGUAUUUGUGUUCUUCUUAAUGAAAAAUAAAAAAAAAAAAAAGAAGAAAAUAGAAAAAGCUGUUUCUUUUUAAUGAAAUUUCUUGUAUGAGGACAGCAAAUCUCAAAUUGUUUCAUUGAUCUUCUUUGUUUUGUUUUAUUACUUAAACAUUAAAAAUGAAAUAGAUAAGACAUAAA
Molecule: long non-coding RNA, 770 nt
Organism: Pipra filicauda (Wire-tailed manakin)
Lineage: Eukaryota; Metazoa; Chordata; Aves; Passeriformes; Pipridae
Exons: 2
Source: RefSeq, a predicted model, not a curated record